GCCUAGUUAGCUUAGUUGGUAAUGCGUCUGCCUUGUAAGCGCUAGGCCGCGGGUUCGAAUCCCGCCCGGGGCG
RNAcentral lists this transfer RNA (73 nucleotides) under Diaphorina citri (Asian citrus psyllid). It matches the Rfam family "tRNA". From Rfam's summary of the family: Transfer RNA (tRNA) molecules are approximately 80 nucleotides in length. Their secondary structure includes four short double-helical elements and three loops (D, anti-codon, and T loops). The record is from Rfam by way of RNAcentral. Lineage: Eukaryota; Metazoa; Arthropoda; Insecta; Hemiptera; Psyllidae.